AUCUAUGUACUAAAUGGGGCUAUAGGAAAGGAAUUGCAAUAUCUGUAUCCCACCAAGUUCUGUGAUGAGAAAGAGGCAUGGAAUUCUGGGGUUUGGAAAUUUUACCAUGUUGUAAUUCUCCCCAAACCUUAAUAAAUACAGACCCUCUGUUGCCAUUUCACCAAGAGCUUCAGGCGGACUUCAAACACUCUUCUUCAGAGUCCAGCAAGAACAGGACUGCACCAAGCUCAAACCAACUAUGAAGAUCCUUUUUCUACUCUUUGCCAUCCUCUUAUUCAUCUUCCAAACAAUUCCAGGAUAUGCUUACCCUCUUGAUGAUACCAUGGAAUGCAGACAGAGUGGGGGUUUCUGUAAG
Heteronotia binoei (common prickly gecko) is the source of this 355-nucleotide long non-coding RNA. RefSeq lists it as uncharacterized. The record is from RefSeq and is a predicted model, not a curated record. NCBI's taxonomy places the organism in Eukaryota, Metazoa, Chordata, Lepidosauria, Squamata, Gekkonidae. The transcript has 2 exons.